Molecule: long non-coding RNA, 984 nt
Filed under: Malus domestica (apple)
Lineage: Eukaryota; Viridiplantae; Streptophyta; Magnoliopsida; Rosales; Rosaceae
Description: long non-coding RNA (MDOM_LNC007601)
Source: RNAcentral
GGAUUUAAAAGGGAGCAUUUCAAAUAAUCUAGUCGUUGAAUACGGAAUUACCCGUUUUUGGGAUUAUAUUUGAUUAGAGAUAAAAAGGUAUGUCGAAAGUGAUUUCUCAUUUCCCAAAACAAGAUAUGGAAUUCCAUCAUUGCUCAUUUUAUGACACGAAACUCGAAGCUACACGUUUGAGGGCUGAAACGCCUCCAACUCUUCCAGUAGUCGGACUACUGCAAAACAAUAAAAACCCAAUCAAUACAUAUUUCAGCUUGCUUUGAAAGGGUUUAUGCAUAAUUAGGGGCAAUUGUGGGACCAUGAAUUUCUAGGGCUGGGGAAAGGCUGAUUGGAAUAACGUUACCUCAGAAGUCCAGUCAUGGACUCGGCAACUCCGAGCAGAGUUGUAUCAAACGGAGCAGUGGUUCCACCGUCACCCUGGUUCGAGGCAAUAAGAGAAGUUUGACCAACUCUGCCAUAAUGACCAUACUUGUUUAGCAAGGCAUGUGAUCUGAUUGGGAUAUGGACACAAUCAGCUUGCUCACAGUUGUUUCUUGUAGGUUACUUGAGUUCGUGCCUCUUCAAUUCAUGGUGGCACACGAAUUAAGCUCCAACAUUUCUCUAUGAAUUUUUAAAGUAAUUUUAUAGACAAAUACUUCUCAUGUGCUUCUUUAUAGAUUUUAAGUAAUUUUAUGAAAAACACUUUCUCAUGUGCUUUAUAAGAGAAGUGAUUCUGAACGUGCCCAGUAAACAUCUUUGAAUAAUGAAUGUAAAAGUACAUAAUUUGGAUAAUUGAAGUAUAUAAAAAAAAAAUUAGUGAUUGGGAUGACUGAUAAAUGGGUUUGGGCUGGCCUCGGCUCUUAUAUAUAUCACCAUCUCAAAAAGGAAUUCACCUCUGCAUCCAAUUUGACACACAUUUAGCAAUUAUACACCUCCAUGUGAUAAUUCUUUACAUUCUUCUGAACACAUACCUGAGGCUGAAGCUCAUUAGUUGGCUAUUAU